AACUUCUGAAAUGUGACCUCGGAUCAGGUAGGA
This 33-nucleotide ribosomal RNA is filed under the name Trichoderma atroviride. Its description in RNAcentral is "partial 28S ribosomal RNA". Lineage: Eukaryota; Fungi; Ascomycota; Sordariomycetes; Hypocreales; Hypocreaceae. The record is from RNAcentral.